RNAcentral lists this ribosomal RNA (685 nucleotides) under uncultured bacterium. Its description in RNAcentral is "bacterial SSU rRNA". It matches the Rfam family "Bacterial small subunit ribosomal RNA", at positions 9 to 688 of the family's 1533-position model. The record is from RNAcentral.
GGGUUUGAUCAUGGCUCAGAUUGAACGCUGGUGGUAUGCUUAACACAUGCAAGUCGAACGGUAACAUUGGAGCUUGCUCCAGAUGACGAGUGGCGGACGGGUGAGUAACGCGUAGGAAUCUGCCUAGUAGUGGGGGACAACAUGUGGAAACGCAUGCUAAUACCGCAUACGCCCUACGGGGGAAAGCGGGGGAUCUUCGGACCUCGCGCUAUUAGAUGAGCCUGCGUUAGAUUAGCUUGUUGGUGGGGUAAUGGCCUACCAAGGCGACGAUCUAUAGCUGGUCUGAGAGGACGAUCAGCCACACUGGGACUGAGACACGGCCCAGACUCCUACGGGAGGCAGCAGUGGGGAAUAUUGGACAAUGGGCGCAAGCCUGAUCCAGCAAUACCACGUGUGUGAAGAAGGCCUGAGGGUUGUAAAGCACUUUCAAUUGGGAGGAAAACAGCUGGGCUAAUAGCCCUGCUCUUGACAUUACCUUUAGAAGAAGCACCGGCUAACUCCGUGCCAGCAGCCGCGGUAAUACGGAGGGUGCGAGCGUUAAUCGGAAUUACUGGGCGUAAAGCGUACGUAGGCGGUUAUUUAAGUCAGAUGUGAAAGCCCCGGGCUCAACCUGGGAACUGCAUUUGAAACUGGAUAACUAGAGUUUGAUAGAGGAGAGUAGAAUUUCUGGUGUAGCGGUGAAAUG